CUACGGGCGGCAGCAGGCGCGAAACCUCUACACUGCACGCAAGUGUGAUAGGGGGAUCCUAAGUGCUCAUGCGCAGCAUGGGCUUUUGCCAAGACGCAAAAUCUUGGCGAAUAAGUGGUGGGUAAGACUGGUGCCAGCCGCCGCGGUAACACCAGCGCCACGAGUGGGGAUCAUGUUUAUUGGGCCUAAAGCGUUCGUAGCCGGCUUUGUAAGUUCUUUGUGAAAUCAUCGGGCUUAACCCGAUGGCGAGCAGAGAAUACUGCGAGGCUAGGAACCGGGAGAGGCCAGAAGUAUUCCUUGGGUACCGGUAAAAUGGGAUAAUCCUUGGAGGACUGCCUAUGGCGAAGGCAUCUGGCCAGAACGGCUUCGACGGUGAGGAACGAAAGCUGGGGGAGCGAACCGGAUUAGAUACCCCCGUAGUC
RNAcentral lists this ribosomal RNA (422 nucleotides) under uncultured archaeon. Its description in RNAcentral is "partial 16S ribosomal RNA". It matches the Rfam family "Archaeal small subunit ribosomal RNA", at positions 323 to 746 of the family's 1478-position model. The record is from RNAcentral.